Molecule: ribosomal RNA, 427 nt
Filed under: uncultured Lysobacter sp.
Lineage: Bacteria; Pseudomonadati; Pseudomonadota; Gammaproteobacteria; Lysobacterales; Lysobacteraceae
Description: bacterial SSU rRNA
Rfam family: Bacterial small subunit ribosomal RNA
Source: RNAcentral
UGGGGAAUAUUGGACAAUGGGCGCAAGCCUGAUCCAGCCAUGCCGCGUGUGUGAAGAAGGCCUUCGGGUUGUAAAGCACUUUUGUUGGGGAAGAAAAGCAUUCGGUUAAUACCCGGGUGUCCUGACGGUACCCAAAGAAUAAGCACCGGCUAACUUCGUGCCAGCAGCCGCGGUAAUACGAAGGGUGCAAGCGUUACUCGGAAUUACUGGGCGUAAAGCGUGCGUAGGUGGUCUGUUAAGUCUGAUGUGAAAGCCCCGGGCUCAACCUGGGAAUGGCAUUGGAUACUGGCAGUCUAGAGUGCGGUAGAGGGGUGUGGAAUUCCCGGUGUAGCAGUGAAAUGCGUAGAUAUCGGGAGGAACAUCCGUGGCGAAGGCGACACCCUGGACCAGCACUGACACUGAGGCACGAAAGCGUGGGGAGCAAACA